RNAcentral lists this ribosomal RNA (549 nucleotides) under uncultured bacterium. RNAcentral describes it as "bacterial SSU rRNA". It matches the Rfam family "Bacterial small subunit ribosomal RNA", at positions 355 to 896 of the family's 1533-position model. The record is from RNAcentral.
UGGGGAAUAUUGGACAAUGGGCGAAAGCCUGAUCCAGCCAUGCCGCGUGUGUGAAGAAGGUCUUCGGAUUGUAAAGCACUUUAAGUUGGGAGGAAGGGCAGUAAGUUAAUACCUUGCUGUUUUGACGUUACCAACAGAAUAAGCACCGGCUAACUUCGUGCCAGCAGCCGCGGUAAUACGAAGGGUGCAAGCGUUAAUCGGAAUUACUGGGCGUAAAGCGCGCGUAGGUGGUUCAGCAAGUUGGAUGUGAAAUCCCCGGGCUCAACCUGGGAACUGCAUCCAAAACUACUGAGCUAGAGUACGGUAGAGGGUGGUGGAAUUUCCUGUGUAGCGGUGAAAUGCGUAGAUAUAGGAAGGAACACCAGUGGCGAAGGCGACCACCUGGACUGAUACUGACACUGAGGUGCGAAAGCGUGGGGAGCAAACAGGAUUAGAUAUCCUGGUAGUCCACGCCGUAAACGAUGUCGACUAGCCGUUGGGAUCCUUGAGAUCUUAGUGGCGCAGCUAACGCGAUAAGUCGACCGCCUGGGGAGUACGGCCGCAAGGUUA